This 729-nucleotide long non-coding RNA is filed under the name Homo sapiens (human). Its description in RNAcentral is "novel transcript, antisense to C15orf48". Lineage: Eukaryota; Metazoa; Chordata; Mammalia; Primates; Hominidae. The record is from RNAcentral.
AGUCUGGUGGUGAAUCGUCCAUAGUCUGGGACAGGCAGGGGAGCCCAGCGGCAUGCUGGAUAUGAAUGUAUCUUCAGCCUUCAAGUUACCAUUGGCCAGAGGGAAGAGUGGCCCCAAACUCUGAAGAGCGCUGGCAAGGCUCCCCAUCUUCCUCUCCCUAGCCUCCACAGGAACAUCACAGUAUGGCUUGGCAUUUUUUUUUUUUUUUUGAGACGGAGUCUCACUCUGUCACCCAGGCUGGAGUGCAGUGGUGUGAUCUCAGCUCACUGCAAGCUCUGCCUCCCGGGUUCAUGCCAUUCUCCUGCCUCAGCCUCCCGAGUAACUGGGACUACAGGCGCCCGCCACCACGCCCAGCUAAUUUUUUGUAUUUUUAGUAGAGACGGGGUUUCACUGUGUUAGCCAGGAUGGUCUCAAUCUCCUGACCUUGUGAUCUGCCCGCCUCAGCCUCCCAAAGUGCUGGGAUGACAGGCGUGAGCCACGCGCCCAGCCUGGCUUGGCAUCUUUAGGGCAGAUCUCAGUAUGCCUUGCAUUCCAAUUCAUCUCCAGAAUCCUACACUUCCUCCAAGGAGUUGGAAAAAGCUCAUGAUGACUUCAGCGAAGAAUUGCCAAAUCUAGAAAUUAAAAAUCCAAAGUAUUGAUCGCCUGGUGGGCGCCAAACCGUCCACCGCGCUCCGCAGGCCAACUGCGGGCCGGCGCGUCCGCGUCUCUGCAGAUGGGAGACUCACCUGG